RNAcentral lists this ribosomal RNA (440 nucleotides) under uncultured bacterium. RNAcentral describes it as "partial 16S ribosomal RNA". It matches the Rfam family "Bacterial small subunit ribosomal RNA", at positions 338 to 795 of the family's 1533-position model. The record is from RNAcentral.
CCUACGGGAGGCAGCAGUAGGGAAUAUUGCUCAAUGGGGGAAACCCUGAAGCAGCAACGCCGCGUGGAGGAUGAAGGUUUUCGGAUUGUAAACUCCUUUUGUUAGAGAAGAUAAUGACGGUAUCUAACGAAUAAGCACUGGCUAACUCCGUGCCAGCAGCCGCGGUAAUACGGAGGGUGCAAGCGUUACUCGGAAUCACUGGGCGUAAAGGGCGCGUAGGCGGGAUAGCAAGUCAGAUGUGAAAUCCUAUGGCUUAACCAUAGAACUGCAUUUGAAACUGUUAUUCUAGAGUAUGGGAGGGGUAGGUGGAAUUCUUGGUGUAGGGGUAAAAUCCGUAGAGAUCAAGAGGAAUACUCAUUGCGAAGGCGACCUGCUAGAACAUAACUGACGCUGAUGCGCGAAAGCGUGGGGAGCAAACAGGAUUAGAUACCCGAGUAGUC